Molecule: ribosomal RNA, 495 nt
Filed under: uncultured Desulfobulbus sp.
Lineage: Bacteria; Pseudomonadati; Thermodesulfobacteriota; Desulfobulbia; Desulfobulbales; Desulfobulbaceae
Description: bacterial SSU rRNA
Rfam family: Bacterial small subunit ribosomal RNA
Source: RNAcentral
ACGCCGCUCAGAAACUAAAGGAAUGACGGGCCGCACAGCGGUGGAGUAUGUGGUUUAAUUCGAUGCAACGCGAAGAACCUUACCUGGUCUUGACAUCCCGGAGACCCUUAGGAAACUAGGGGUGCUUCCAUCUGGAAGAAUCUGGAGACAGGUGCUGCAUGGCUGUCGUCAGCUCGUGUCGUGAGAUGUUGGGUUAAGUCCCGCAACGAGCGCAACCCUUGCCUUUAGUUGCCAGCAGUUCGGCUGGGCACUCUAAAGGGACUGCCGGUGUUAAACCGGAGGAAGGUGGGGAUGACGUCAAGUCCUCAUGGCCUUUAUGUCCUGGGCUACACACGUGCUACAAUGGCCGGUACAGAGUGAAGCGAAACCGCGAGGUGAAGCAAAACGCAGAAAGCCGGUCUCAGUACGGAUUGGAGUCUGAAACUCGACUUCAUGAAGUUGGAGUCGCUAGUAAUCGUGGAUCAGCAUGCCACGGUGAAUACGUUCCCGGGCCUU